UGGGCAGUAGCUCAGUGGUAGAGCUUCCGCUCCAUAUGCGGGAAGACCUGGGUUCGAUUCCCGGCUGCUUAC
Molecule: transfer RNA, 72 nt
Organism: Toxocara canis (dog roundworm)
Lineage: Eukaryota; Metazoa; Nematoda; Chromadorea; Rhabditida; Toxocaridae
Rfam family: tRNA
About the family: Transfer RNA (tRNA) molecules are approximately 80 nucleotides in length. Their secondary structure includes four short double-helical elements and three loops (D, anti-codon, and T loops).
Source: Rfam